Molecule: long non-coding RNA, 3180 nt
Filed under: Pongo abelii (Sumatran orangutan)
Lineage: Eukaryota; Metazoa; Chordata; Mammalia; Primates; Hominidae
Description: lincRNA
Source: RNAcentral
UGCUUCUAUAUAAGCAUUUAAUGCAACAGUGUUCAUCUAAGUAUUGCUUUUGAGUGCCAAAAUACCAUGUUUUUCACACUCCAAACUCUUAGGAAGACUUCUGAAGACAACUUGUCCCUUAUUUAUGAUACUAUAUAUUAAAGUAACUGAAAGUAUUCAAAAUAAUGCUUACUUUGUGCAGAGGCCAUGAACUCUAACCAAAACACAUAAAUGUCAAAUUUGAGCGAUACAUUUUGAUUGAUUUUAAAAUUCCAUUUGAGGCACUACUUUUCUGAAUAGAUGCCCAAGGAAAAUAUUUUAAAAUAUUGUUUUAUUAAAAAAUUGUUUCCUAUAGAAUCUGAAAAGUUCUUUAGGUAGACUUUUAGUAAAAUGUUUGAACAGUUUAAAUGCUAUUUCAGACUGUCAGAAUGAUGAAUGUUUUUUAAUUAUUUUCAUAAUGAUUUAUCACUCCAGUUUACAGUACUUGAAAUAUUUUUUUCGCUUCACCUAAAUAACUGGCAUUUUUGUGUUAUGUUCUUUUCUUCAUUUUAUACUCUGCUCUAAAGCACUUUCAAAUUAAAAAAAAAAAAACAGUAUUGUAUUCUAGGGCCAUUAGUGAAUGUGCAUGAGCUAUUAUAGCCAAUGAAAUAAUCAUUAUAUGAUUGAAGAUUAACUAAGAAAAUGGAUUAUGGUGUAAUUAAAAACACCAAGAUAGGAGGGACGCAGUGGUUUAUGCCUGUAAUCCCAGCACUUUUUGAGAGGCUGAGGCAGGCAGAUUACCUGAGGUUAGGAGUUCGAGACCAGCCUGGCUAACAUGGCGAAACUCUGUCUCUACUAAAAAUACAAAAAUUAGCCGAGCAUGGUGGCAGGCGUCUGUAGUCCCAGCUACUUGGGAGGCUGAGGCAGGAGAAUUGCCUGAACCCGGGAGGAGGUUCCAGUGAGCCGAGAUCAUGCCACUGUACUCCAUCCUGGGCGACAAGAGCAAGACUCCGUCUCAAAAACAAAACAAAACAAAACAAAACAAAACAAAACAAAACAAAACAAAAACACCAAGAUAUUCCUGGAAAAGCUACGAAAAUAUGUUUUUCAGUUAAGCGGAAGCACUUAUCAAUGCCGCCAGUCCUGGUAAAGAUUGCCAACUCUAAUAUAAUAUAAAGCAGGCAUUUCUUGUAAUAAAUAUGAAGAGGAUAUUAGCCUUGAUCAUAGCAUAACUCUCUUCCAGGUAGGACUCCAGCUUCUGAAAGUCAUUUUGUAAUGUUCAUCAACUGAAGAUGACUGUAAAGCUCAGCACCAGUUCAUGGAGGCAGCCAUGUUUCUGAUUAAAGUCUGGGCCUAGAGAGCUGUAUGGAAAGGUUUGGAAUAGAGGUGAUUUAGCCUAGAGAAAAUUGCUAAACCAUGGGUUACACACUGGUGGCCUGUAGUCCUAUUUUGUUAGACACAGACAAUGGAUUUUCUUUGUUUUUCAUAUUUGAAUUAAUUUCUGAAUUCUUGAAUAUUGGCAGAUUAUGCUACAGGAAUCUAAAUUACUCUCAUUUCUGCAUGUCAUUAAAAAAGUAGAGAUGAAUAGCAGGCCCCUUUUCCCUGGGGCAUGCGCUUCCCAGCUACAUACACAGCACCCACCACACCAGAGAGUUUCCCUACCUGGCAACUACCGGUUAUCAUCACUCCUUAGGCAGCUGUUUUCUUACAGUGAAGAAGUUCUGUUUCCAUGGUGCUAUCAAAAGUAAGAAAAGGAACUAUAGUUUGAGAGGCUGUGUUCUUAACCCAUCGACGCUCCUAAUGGGCCCUGAAGAUAUUUGACCUUGUGACCAUGUGUAAUAAGGUGAUACAUGUUCAUUGAACGGUGGUGUCCUCCUCCCCUGACUUUCAAAUGGAAUUCAGAUACAAUUUUUACCCUUAUUAUGAUUAUCUACAAUUAUAAUUAUGCUACUUCUAAGUAUAUGACCUGGGGCAAGUUUCCUGACCUCUCUAUGCUUCACAUUCCUCAACCAUAAAUAGGGGAUAAAAAUAGUACCUACAUCAUAGAGUUGUCAAAAGGAUUACAUGAGUUAAUGUGUGGAAAGCACUGAAGAUAGUGCCUGGUAAAUACAAUGUACCAUGUAAGUGUUCACUGUUGCAGUCCUCAUUUAUUUUCUGAUUAUACUAACAUUUCACUUAUUCUGUGUUGCUCAUGUCACCUCCUAAUUUGUAAGUGACUGGUAGAAAGAAACUUGUCCCAAGGGUAUCUGACCUUCACCCACACUUUGCACUUCCAUCAGUCUGCAUCAGUUUUAGGGCCUAGAGAUGUAUUUGCACAUAUUGAAGGAGGUAAAUAACUACAGUGAAUAAGAUAACAUUCAGAAAUUCAGGACUGUGACCUUAGAGAUCAUCUAGUCCAGGAGUUGGCAAGCUUUUUCUGUAAAGGGCCAGACUGUAAAUAUUUUGGCUUUGUGGCCAGAUUGUCUCUGUGGCAACUACUCAACUCUGCUGGUGCAAUGCAAAAGCAGCCGUAGGCUCUAUGGGACGAAUAGGUGUGGCUGUGUUCCAAUAACACUUUAUUUAUAGACACUGAAAUUUGAAUUGCAUAUAAUUUUCACAUGUCAUUAAAUAUUAUUCUUCUUUUGAUUUUUUUUCAACCUUUUCAAAAUGUAAAAACCAUUCUUAGCUCUGGGCUAUAAAAAACAGGUAGAAGGUUUCACCCAGGAAUUCCACCUGGGAAUUUUUGUUGAACAGUGAAGCUACCUGGGCCCCACUCCAAACCCAUUGAAUAAAAAUCUCUGGGUGGUGGGGCAAUGGAAUCUGUGCUGUGAACAUGCAUGUGAUCCCUACCAGUGUGGCUCUAGGGACCACACUUUAAGAAACUACCCAAGGCCUUCAAACGAGUGUGGAGACUUUAUGGCCCCCCUCACAGAUCUAAAAAUGAUUUAUUAAGGUUAGUUAUAACAAGUACCACACUGCAAAUAUGAAUAUGAUCACUUUUGACUUAAAUUACUUAAAUUUACCCUUCACAUUCUCUUAUUUUUAUUAUCAAAAUUUCUUGUAGACAAAGGUCAUUAUUUUCUUCUACUAUGUUUAAGGAAUGUGAUAGCACCUUGAACUUACCCUAAAAUCACUGUACAUUAGAGAAAUCCUGUUUCAUGUUUUCAUCAAUGUAGGAAUAUGUGCAUGUUUAUUGACAUUCUUUGUGGUGGCAAAAAGUAAAAUAAACUCUGAAAAGAACUU